Trichoplusia ni (cabbage looper) is the source of this 756-nucleotide long non-coding RNA. RefSeq lists it as uncharacterized. NCBI's taxonomy places the organism in Eukaryota, Metazoa, Arthropoda, Insecta, Lepidoptera, Noctuidae. The record is from RefSeq and is a predicted model, not a curated record. The transcript has 5 exons.
UGGCGUUAUCUGUGGUUGCGAAAUAUUGAUUUUGUUUGUGUUUCUACUGUUUCUAUUUCUUGUUAGAAUUUUGCAGUGAAAAUGUAUAAUUCGCGUAAAAGUUCUUGGAAAGAUAUAGCCUACAACAUUGUAAAGGAAUAUGGAGAAUCAUUCGGUAUAAAUUCGAUCUUUUUGUUAAAAAUCUGCAUGCCUCAAGUAUUUCCUUAUUAUUUUUAUGCAGGGGCCAGUGCAGUGCAGUGAAAUUAUUGAGACUAAUAUUGUAAGAAAUGCUUUCAGGAAUAAAUGAGAGAUGUAGGCAGAAUAUAAAUAUUUGAAUGCAAUUAUCAUGCAGUUGAAGAAAACUCACCUGCUCGUCAUGGCUGAGAACUUGCUCCUGAGAACAAGUUGCUGCAGAUGCCGUUGUCAGCAAGCCAUGGAUGUCAAGACUGUCACACAGACAAAGAAGUCUAAAAUGUCUGAAAUUUAAAAUGGACAAGAUCCAGUUGUCAGCCAGCCAUAGAUGUCUCAACAAGAUAGCAGUUUCCUGAUGUGGCAGCUACAGCAGCCACAACACAGCUGGCAGACAACUAGCCUGAGCCAGUCACACCAUGGAUGAGAAAACAAUAUUAAGUCCGCGCCAAAAACGUAUGGAGGAUGCAAUUGUGGUUUAAGCGGGCGACUGAUGCCCGUUGACACGGCGUGCAGGCCAACGCUGGGAAACCAUGGCAGGAACACUGAAGACAUACUGAAAGAGAACAAUAAAUAUUAUUUAAUAUA